Homo sapiens (human) is the source of this 1994-nucleotide long non-coding RNA. NCBI's taxonomy places the organism in Eukaryota, Metazoa, Chordata, Mammalia, Primates, Hominidae. The record is from Ensembl.
GCACUGGCUCCGCGUCGGCCGGUCGGUUUGGUCGGUUGUAGUGGCCUCGCCGCCCGGUCCGCUGUCGCAGCGCUCAUCCGCGCCGGGAGCCCUUGGCUGCGUCGCCCGGCAGCCGCGCCUCGCGAGACCGCUGUCUACGGCGCUGACGCCGCCUCUGCCUCUUGACCCCUUGGCCCCGCUGUCCUGAUCCCUGAGGUCGGGGCCUGGUCUGCACUCCAGGAAAGACGAGUGCGCUUAGUGUGCGCUGCACGUGAGCAGUGAAGUUGAUUCCACGCGCUGCGCUGCUCGGCAGCUGUCCCAGAACUGACCACGGACCCCUCCGCGGGUCCUGCUCCUGACAAGGGCCUUCCGGCACUGGGAGUUUUGUGUUAGUGGAAAGGAAGAAUCUAAUAAUACCACCACCUUUACAGUAAAGACGCUGCGAAUUGACGCCUUUUAUAAUAAAGACACUUAUCUUGCCCAAGAGCUGGGCUGGAGUGUAGUGGCGCAAUCUUGGAUCACCACAACCUCCGUCUCCCAGGUUCAAGCGAUUCUCCCGCCUCAGCCUCCUGAGUAGCAAUUACAGGGAGCAUUUCCUGAAGACGUAGUCAUGCAGCACGUCAGCAGCUCCCAGAGCAGCCAGCGCCAUGUCCAGUGGCCUGGGGCCUGCCCCGGCGCGGGCGAGGAGCAGCCAGCGUGCUCCCAGCCGUCCCUGCCCCUCACACUGCCAUCCCCCAGCCACCAACUACAGCAGCUGAUGGUCCAGACCCAGAGUCCCACGCAGCCCAGUCCGGGGCCGGGGCAGGCCUUGCAGAAUGUGCGUGCAGGUGCCCCUGGCCCUGGGCUGGGCCUCUGCAGCAGCAGCCCUACAGGGGACUUCGUGGAUGCCAGCGUGCUGGUGAGGCAGAUCAGCUUGAGCCCCUCCAGUGGUGGACACUUUGUGUUUCAGGAUGGGUCAGGGCUCACCCAGAUCGCCCAGGGAGCCCAGGUUCAGCUCCAGCACCCGGGUACGCCCAUCACAGUCCGAGAGCGGAGACCCUCCCAGCCCCACACACAGUCAGGGGGCACCAUCCACCACCUGGGACCCCAGAGCCCUGCAGCCGCGGGUGGGGCCGGCCUGCAGCCCCUGGCCAGCCCAAGCCACAUCACCACGGCUAACUUGCCACCGCAGAUCAGCAGCAUCAUCCAGGGCCAGCUGGUUCAGCAGCAGCAGGUGCUGCAGGGGCCGCCGCUGCCCCGGCCCCUGGGCUUCGAGAGGACGCCCGGCGUGCUGCUCCCCGGGGCUGGGGGCGCAGCGGGGUUUGGGAUGACGUCCCCACCCCCGCCCACCAGCCCUUCCAGGACUGCCGUGCCCCCAGGCCUUUCCAGCCUCCCACUCACGUCUGUGGGGAACACGGGAAUGAAGAAGGUUCCCAAGAAGUUAGAGGAGAUUCCCCCAGCCUCUCCGGAGAUGGCACAGAUGAGGAAGCAGUGCCUGGACUAUCAUCACCAGGAGAUGCAGGCUCUGAAGGAGGUCUUCAAGGAGUAUUUGAUUGAACUGUUUUUCUUGCAACACUUUCAAGGGAACAUGAUGGAUUUCUUAGCUUUCAAGGAGAGACUGUAUGGACCAUUACAAGCAUAUCUUAGGCAGAAUGAUUUGGACAUUGAAGAAGAGGAAGAGGAGCACUUUGAAGUCAUUAAUGAUGAGGUAAAGGUUGUGGCCAGAAAGCACGGGCAGCCUGGGACUCCUGUUGCCAUAGCAACCCAGCUACCGCCGAGGACUUCUGCGGCUUUUCCAGCCCAGCAGCAGCCGCUCCAGGUACUUUCUGAUGGCUCCACAGUGCAGCUCCCCAGACUUUCCUCACUCGGAUUUGAGGACUCGAUGUGCUGAGGCAGGACCCAGAGGGGUCCCAAGAGCCUGUCCUCUUUUGUUCAAAAUACAUCUUGAAACGUCUUUGUGAAGGCUCUUAGUUUUAAUGCAUGGAUGCUGUUAUUUUUCCCUACUGUUACUGAAAUUAAAAAGUGUUUGUCUCUGA